AAUAGAUACCCCCGGUAGUCCACGCCGUAAACGAUGAGUGCUAAGUGUUAGAGGGUUUCCGCCCUUUAGUGCUGCAGCUAACGCAUUAAGCACUCCGCCUGGGGAGUACGGCCGCAAGGCUGAAAACUCAAAGGAAUUGACGGGGGCCCGCACAAGCGGUGGAGCAUGUGGUUUAAUUCGAAGCAACGCGAAGAACCUUACCAGGUCUUGACAUCCUCUGCCAACCCUAGAGAUAGGGCGUUCCCCUUCGGGGGACAGAGUGACAGGUGGUGCAUGGUUGUCGUCAGCUCGUGUCGUGAGAUGUUGGGUUAAGUCCCGCAACGAGCGCAACCCUUGAUCUUAGUUGCCAGCAUUCAGUUGGGCACUCUAAGGUGACUGCCGGUGACAAACCGGAGGAAGGUGGGGAUGACGUCAAAUCAUCAUGCCCCUUAUGACCUGGGCUACACACGUGCUACAAUGGAUGGUACAAAGAGCUGCGAACCCGCGAGGGUAAGCCAAUCUCAUAAAGCCAUUCUCAGUUCGGAUUGUAGG
This 531-nucleotide ribosomal RNA is filed under the name uncultured bacterium. RNAcentral describes it as "bacterial SSU rRNA". It matches the Rfam family "Bacterial small subunit ribosomal RNA", at positions 777 to 1304 of the family's 1533-position model. The record is from RNAcentral.